UACGUAGGGUGCGAGCGUUUGUCCGGAAUUAUUGGGCGUAAAGAGCUCGUAGGCGGUGUGUCGCGUCGGCCGUGAAACCUGGGCUUAACUCUGGCGUGCGGUCGAUACGGCAUCACUGGAGUUCGGCAGGGGAGACUGGAAUUCCUGGUGGAGCGGUGAAAUGCGUAGAUAUCACUUGGAACGCCAAUGGUGAAGACAGCUCGCUGGGGUGUCCUGACGCUGAGGCGCGAAAGCCAGGGGAGCGAACGGG
This 250-nucleotide ribosomal RNA is filed under the name uncultured bacterium. Its description in RNAcentral is "partial 16S ribosomal RNA". It matches the Rfam family "Bacterial small subunit ribosomal RNA", at positions 524 to 776 of the family's 1533-position model. The record is from RNAcentral.